ACUACUUUGGCAGAUUUAAUGUAUUAAAUUUAGAAUUUAUUUAUGUAAUUUAUAUUACAAGUAGUA
Molecule: transfer RNA, 66 nt
Filed under: Pygovepres vaccinicola
Lineage: Eukaryota; Metazoa; Arthropoda; Insecta; Hemiptera; Miridae
Description: tRNA-Leu
Source: RNAcentral